Molecule: ribosomal RNA, 475 nt
Filed under: uncultured organism
Description: partial 16S ribosomal RNA
Rfam family: Bacterial small subunit ribosomal RNA
Source: RNAcentral
CACUCCUGCGGGAGGCAGCAGUGGGGAAUUUUGGACAAUGGGCGAAAGCCUGAUCCAGCAAUGCCGCGUGUGUGAAGAAGGCCUUCGGGUUGUAAAGCACUUUUGUCCGGAAAGAAAUCCUUGGCUCUAAUACAGUCGGGGGAUGACGGUACCGGAAGAAUAAGCACCGGCUAACUACGUGCCAGCAGCCGCGGUAAUACGUAGGGUGCGAGCGUUAAUCGGAAUUACUGGGCGUAAAGCGUGCGCAGGCGGUUUGCUAAGACCGAUGUGAAAUCCCCGGGCUCAACCUGGGAACUGCAUUGGUGACUGGCAGGCUAGAGUAUGGCAGAGGGGGGUAGAAUUCCACGGGUAGCAGUGAAAUGCGUAGAGAUGUGGAGGAAUACCGAUGGCGAAGGCAGCCCCCUGGGCCAAUACUGACGCUCAUGCACGAAAGCGUGGGGAGCAAACAGGAUUAGAACCCCGGUAGUCCCAUGAU